This is an RNA transcript of Paramormyrops kingsleyae, 2077 nucleotides long. It is a transcript of the gene named transmembrane protein 128, with no coding region annotated. The record is from RefSeq and is a predicted model, not a curated record. NCBI's taxonomy places the organism in Eukaryota, Metazoa, Chordata, Actinopteri, Osteoglossiformes, Mormyridae.
ACAGGAAGCCGGAAGUCGGCGUCUUUCACAAGCAACAUGGCGGACGCGUUAGCAAACAGCGAGCUGCAAAGUCUUCGGAAUCGUUUCAAAAAAGAUGCAGAGUUUGUUUUGCGCGGGGUUUCUGAAAAUGACACUGGAGAGAAGAGUCCGGAGGACAAAGAUGCAAAACCUCUCCCUCGCUUUAACCGUCACUCCAUCUUCUGGAUUGUGGCUUCCAUCGGGCUGACUUACUACACUGAUUUCUUCUCUGUCCUUAUGAAAGACGAGAACAUUAAAAGCUGGUGGUUCAGCGUGGGUGUGGCCCUGCUGGGAGUGAGCCUGGCAAUGGCGCUCUUCAGCAUCGUCUACCUCGACUGGUUCCGGGGGGUCCGGCAGUAUGACGUUCAGUACCCAGCCAUCGCACCCGUGACCACUGCCGCCUUCAUCGCUUCCUCCUGCAGCUUCAAUAUAGCACUUUGGCCCGUGUGGUCAAUCUGCACUCCCAUUAUCCUCUUCACCCAGUUCAUGGGAAUUGUGAUGUUCAUCUCCCUACUUGGCUGAGAUAUGAAGCCACCUGGAUGUGUCUAGUGAUCCAACUAGAGUUACCUUGCUCAAGUCUCUCAGCGAGGACAGCGGUAUGAUGGUAUUAUGGUAUACCCUGGUAUUUAGAAGUCCCAAAGGGCUCUUCUGAAGAAGCACAUACCACUGAACUCAAGAUCAACUUGAAAAAAAUGUGUAUAUUCUGUAUUGGUUUAACCUGCCACACUUAUUUUGUAUCUGCUACUCAAAAGACCUGACUUUUCUAUUGAUUUGUAGGAUGUUUCUGUAUAGAUUUCUGGGGCAGGCAUAGCUGUCCAAAACAGAUAGUUACUUGCAGCGCUUCCAUGAAAGACAGGCUUGCUGUAAGCAGCAGUGCUGCGUGUGCCUCUGUGGCUUUUUGUGUUUUUGCUGCUGUUUCUAGUACAAUAUGAAUGCCCUAACAUCAUUGCAAUAACGUUCAACACAACAUUUCCAUAAGCAUAACGUUCAGUACAUUUCUCAGAAUUGGGUGUAGCCUGCUGUACAUGAAUAGGAUUACCUAAUGUCGUGCAAGCAAUGUUGUUUGUUUGUAGGUGUUGUCAUUCAACGGAAGGUAUCAUAGUUUUGGAAAGGGCUCCAAGAUUGCCAUGACAAAACCAUAAUGAAAAAAUCAUGCUCCACAUUUUGGAGUAGCCACCUUGUGGACGUUUAAGCAACUUCAUGCUAAUUAAGACACUGAUAAUGUUGAUUCAUUACAGUGCUUGGUGUAAUUUGAUGGCAGGUUACUAUAACAACCCCAGGAGUAAACACUAAACAUAUGUGAUUUCCUACCAAGCUGUCCACCAUUACUCAUGCUGUAUCUCAACGUGGGUUUCUGUAUGGCGAUUUUUCAGCUAUUCCACUGCGUCACCUUGAUGAAUAGCCUGUACAAAUGAGAAAGUCACACGUUACGUGACCUUAGUGACAAACUCCCCAUUGUCAAGAUUUAACUUUGGCUAACCUGUAGGACAGUUACAUUUUAACCUUGCACAACACAUUCACUUGAUCUUAGUUGCUGAAUUCAAUAACUUUUUGUAUGAUCUAUGAUCGUUUUCACAUAUACAAUGGCAAUUGGAGCUGCUCAUUUUCUCUGUUUAGUUACAUUCAUAGCUUUAUAUUUGCUUAUAAAUCUGGGGCUCAGGUGUACAGUUUUUUUUAUUUUUGGCACAGAUUUUUGUAUAGUAUGAGAUGACUCAUGAGUAAAGCUUUUCACACUAAUUUUAGUCAUUUGCAAUCUAUAAGUAGUUUUGAGAAAUUGAAUUAUAUAUUACAGAUUUGCGUACUUAUGCAGUAGUAAUCCUUAAAAAAAUUUUUUUUAAAAAACCUAAUAUUGUAUUUGUAUUAUAUCCCUGCAUGCAAACAUCUGUAUUUUAUAAAUAUCCUGUGCGUAGCCAAUUUCUCACAUUUGCAUUUCAGGAUAUUUUCUUAGCUCUUUAUAUUUUUUUGUUAAAAUUUAUCUUCAUACACUGCUCAGAGCUUUUUGUGUGUAAUUUUCAUGUCAUUCAGAUGCAAUUGAAAAUAAAACUAAUUACUUCAUAAA